This 62-nucleotide microRNA precursor is filed under the name Daubentonia madagascariensis (aye-aye). RNAcentral describes it as "microRNA dma-mir-222 precursor". Its record names the gene dma-mir-222. It matches the Rfam family "mir-221 microRNA precursor family", at positions 12 to 73 of the family's 84-position model. Lineage: Eukaryota; Metazoa; Chordata; Mammalia; Primates; Daubentoniidae. The record is from miRBase by way of RNAcentral.
CUCAGUAGCCAGUGUAGAUCCUGUCUUUAGUAAUCAGCAGCUACAUCUGGCUACUGGGUCUC